RNAcentral lists this ribosomal RNA (497 nucleotides) under uncultured bacterium. RNAcentral describes it as "partial 16S ribosomal RNA". It matches the Rfam family "Bacterial small subunit ribosomal RNA", at positions 28 to 507 of the family's 1533-position model. The record is from RNAcentral.
GAUGAACGCUGGCGGCGUGCCUAACACAUGCAAGUCGAACGAACAGACGCGGCGCUUGCUCCUCUGACGUUAGCGGCGGACGGGUGAGUCACACGUGGAUCCCCUCCCUGUAAUACUGAGAUAUCUUCGGGAAACCGGCGCUAAUACCGGAGAAGAUAUUGAACCACAUGGUUCAAUAGUGAAAGACGGUUUUGCUGUCACGUAUCGCUGGUUCUGCGCCGCAUUGGCUAGUUGGUAAGGUAAAGGGUUACGAAGGCAAGGAUGCGUAGCCGACGUGAGAGGGGGGUCGGCCACACGGGAGCUGAGACACGGUCCAGACUCCUACGGGAGGCAGCAGUAGGGAAUCGUCCGCAAUGGGCGAAAGCAUGACGGAGCAACGGCGCGUGAGUUAUGAAGGUCUUGGGAUCGUAAAACUCGGUUACUAGGGAAGAACAAAUGUGUAAGGAACUAUGGACGGCUUGACGGUACUGAGUCAGAAAGCCACGGCUAACUACGUG